AACGAACGCUGGCGGCAGGCCUAACACAUGCAAGUCGAGCGAGGACUUCGGUUCUAGCGGCGGACGGGUGAGUAACGCGUGGGAAUGUGCCCUUCUCUACGGAAUAGCCCUGGGAAACUGGGAGUAAUACCGUAUACACCCUAUUGGGGAAAGAUUUAUCGGAGAAGGAUCAGCCCGCGUUGGAUUAGGUAGUUGGUGGGGUAAUGGCCUACCAAGCCGACGAUCCAUAGCUGGUUUGAGAGGAUGAUCAGCCACACUGGGACUGAGACACGGCCCAGACUCCUACGGGAGGCAGCAGUGGGGAAUCUUAGACAAUGGGGGCAACCCUGAUCGAGCCAUGCCGCGUGAGUGAUGAAGGCCUUAGGGUUGUAAAGCUCUUUCAGCUGGGAAGAUAAUGACGGUACCAGCAGAAGAAGCCCCGGCUAACUCCGUG
Molecule: ribosomal RNA, 433 nt
Filed under: uncultured bacterium
Lineage: Bacteria
Description: partial 16S ribosomal RNA
Rfam family: Bacterial small subunit ribosomal RNA
Source: RNAcentral